Molecule: ribosomal RNA, 801 nt
Filed under: uncultured bacterium
Lineage: Bacteria
Description: bacterial SSU rRNA
Rfam family: Bacterial small subunit ribosomal RNA
Source: RNAcentral
UGACCUAGCGGCGGACGGGUGAGUAAUGCUUAGGAAUCUGCCUAUUAGUGGGGGACAACAUCUCGAAAGGGAUGCUAAUACCGCAUACGUCCUACGGGAGAAAGCAGGGGACCUUCGGGCCUUGCGCUAAUAGAUGAGCCUAAGUCGGAUUAGCUAGUUGGUGGGGUAAAGGCCUACCAAGGCGACGAUCUGUAGCGGGUCUGAGAGGAUGAUCCGCCACACUGGGACUGAGACACGGCCCAGACUCCUACGGGAGGCAGCAGUGGGGAAUAUUGGACAAUGGGGGGAACCCUGAUCCAGCCAUGCCGCGUGUGUGAAGAAGGCCUUUUGGUUGUAAAGCACUUUAAGCGAGGAGGAGGCUACCGAGAUUAAUACUCUUGGAUAGUGGACGUUACUCGCAGAAUAAGCACCGGCUAACUCUGUGCCAGCAGCCGCGGUAAUACAGAGGGUGCAAGCGUUAAUCGGAUUUACUGGGCGUAAAGCGCGCGUAGGUGGCCAAUUAAGUCAAAUGUGAAAUCCCCGAGCUUAACUUGGGAAUUGCAUUCGAUACUGGUUGGCUAGAGUAUGGGAGAGGAUGGUAGAAUUCCAGGUGUAGCGGUGAAAUGCGUAGAGAUCUGGAGGAAUACCGAUGGCGAAGGCAGCCAUCUGGCAUAAUACUGACACUGAGGUGCGAAAGCAUGGGGAGCAAACAGGAUUAGAUACCCUGGUAGUCCAUGCCGUAAACGAUGUCUACUAGCCGUUGGGGCCUUUGAGGCUUUAGUGGCGCAGCUAACGCGAUAAGUAGACCGCCUGGGGAGUACG